This 506-nucleotide ribosomal RNA is filed under the name uncultured bacterium. RNAcentral describes it as "partial 16S ribosomal RNA". It matches the Rfam family "Bacterial small subunit ribosomal RNA", at positions 29 to 523 of the family's 1533-position model. The record is from RNAcentral.
AGUGAACGCUGGCGGUAGGCCUAACACAUGCAAGUCGAACGGCAGCACAGGAGAGCUUGCUCUCGGGGUGGCGAGUGGCGGACGGGUGAGGAAUACAUCGGAAUCUACUCUGUCGUGGGGGAUAACGUAGGGAAACUUACGCUAAUACCGCAUACGACCUACGGGUGAAAGCGGGGGACCUUGGGGCCUUGCGCGAUGAAAUGAGCCGAUGUCGGAUGAGCUAGUUGGCGGGGUAAAGGCCCACCAAGGCGACGAUCCGUAGCUGGUCUGAGAGGAUGAUCAGCCACACUGGAACUGAGACACGGUCCAGACUCCUACGGGAGGCAGCAGUGGGGAAUAUUGGACAAUGGGCGCAAGCCUGAUCCAGCCAUACCGCGUGGGUGAAGAAGGCCUUCGGAUUGUAAAGCCCUUUUGUUGGGAAAGAAAUCCAGCUGGCUAAUACCCGGUUGGGAUGACGGUACCCAAAGAAUAAGCACCGGCUAACUUCGUGCCAGCCGCCGCCGUAA